This 278-nucleotide ribosomal RNA is filed under the name uncultured Arcanobacterium sp. RNAcentral describes it as "partial 16S ribosomal RNA". It matches the Rfam family "Bacterial small subunit ribosomal RNA", at positions 76 to 355 of the family's 1533-position model. The record is from RNAcentral. Lineage: Bacteria; Bacillati; Actinomycetota; Actinomycetes; Actinomycetales; Actinomycetaceae.
CUUGCUUGGGGUACUCGAGUGGCGAACGGGUGAGUAAUACGUGGGUAACCUGCCCUCUUCUUUGGGAUAAGCCCCGGAAACGGGGUCUAAUACCGGAUAUUCUGCUUCUGCCGCAUGGUGGGGGUUGGAAAGGUUUUUCGGUGGGGGAUGGGCCCGCGGCCUAUCAGCUUGUUGGUGGGUGAUGGCCUACCAAGGCUUCGACGGGUAGCCGGCCUGAGAGGGUGACCGGCCACAUUGGGACUGAGAUACGGCCCAGACUCCUACGGGAGGCAGCAGUC